CGGUGUGUGAAGAAGCCUUAUGGUUGUAAAGCACUAAAGCGAGGAGGACGGCUACUUAGUUCAUACCUAGAGAUAGUGGACGUUACUCGCAGAAUAAGCACCGGCUAACUCUGUGCCAGCAGCCGCGGUAAUACAGAGGGUGCAAGCGUUAAUCGGAUUUACUGGGCGUAAAGCGCGCGUAGGCGGCUAAUUAAGUCAAAUGUGAAAUCCCCGAGCUUAACUUGGGAAUUGCAUUCGAUACUGGUUAGCUAGAGUGUGGGAGAGGAUGGUAGAAUUCCAGGUGUAGCGGUGAAAUGCGUAGAGAUCUGGAGGAAUACCGAUGGCGAAGGCAGCCAUCUGGCCUAACACUGACGCUGAGGUGCGAAAGCAUGGGGAGCAAACAGGAUUAGAUACCCUGGUAGUCCAUGCCGUAAACGAUGUCUACUAGCCGUUGGGGCCUUUGAGGCUUUAGUGGCGCAGCUAACGCGAUAAGUAGACCGCCUGGGGAGUACGGUCGCAAGACUAAAACUCAAAUGAAUUGACGGGGGCCCGCACAAGCGGUGGAGCAUGUGAUUUACUUCGAUGCAACGCGAAGAACCUUACCUGGCCUUGACAUA
This 596-nucleotide ribosomal RNA is filed under the name uncultured bacterium. RNAcentral describes it as "bacterial SSU rRNA". It matches the Rfam family "Bacterial small subunit ribosomal RNA", at positions 399 to 988 of the family's 1533-position model. The record is from RNAcentral.